This is a long non-coding RNA of Microcebus murinus (gray mouse lemur), 1619 nucleotides long. RefSeq lists it as uncharacterized. The record is from RefSeq and is a predicted model, not a curated record. NCBI's taxonomy places the organism in Eukaryota, Metazoa, Chordata, Mammalia, Primates, Cheirogaleidae.
AAAAAAUCACCUAAACAGGAUGCAAAAAGCACCAAUCAUGAUGGAAAAGAUGAACAUGUUGAUGAAAGUCCUCAUUUAAAAAGUAACAUGCUAUUGAAUUCCCAUAAUAAGAGAGUGAGAGUCUUCUCAAAAUAAGGGAUCUGAGUGUUAGAGAAGGAAAGCAAACCUGAGCUUUGGCUGAGUCAAGUAUCAAGUCCAGUCCUGUAUCCUUUCCCUAAUUCUUGAUCUCUCCAGUAAUUUUGGUGAUGCCUCACCUUCACCUGAUACUGUUACCAGCCCCUGCCAGCCACAGGACAUGCAGUGCAGCAUGGCUUCUCAAUAACCCUCCUAUCUCUUGAAGCCAGGUCCCAGGUUCUAGGACUAAAUUCACAAUCGCUCAUUACCCAUACAAGGAGGCAGAUACAAUAAUCCAUGAUAAUCUUAUCAAAAUCCUUAAAUUAAUCACUUCUGCAAAUUCCAUUUUCCCAUGUAAAGUAAAAUAUUUACAUGUUCCAGUGAUCAGGAUGUAGACAUCUUUUUGGGGACUACUAUUUGCCCACUAAAGGAAGGAAAACAGAUGUUAAAUAGGACACAAAAGCACCAAUCAUAAUAGAAAAGAUUAAUAAAUUGAUGAAAGUCUUCAUUAAAAUACUAAAAACAUAUCCAACUGAGGAGGAGAUAUUUGUUAAAUAUAUAACCAAAUCCUCCCCUUCCUUCUCACCUUCCUUUCCCAUUACCUCUCAAAACAAUCCAGUACCAAAUCCACUAUGGGUCCAAAUAAGUUAGGUAUUUAUGGCACUCGUGAUAGAACUGCUUUCUCUGAGUUAUCUGUCAGAGCCCAAUCAGGUUAAAAGAGACACUCCUGCAGAGAGGCUGCCUGGGAUGGUGUAUGAGGUGCUGAUCAGGGAGACGGCAGUGUCACAGAAAGGCAGGCAGUGUCACAGAAAGGCAUGUGCAUCAAAUCCUGAGCAGGUGAUGAGGACCUCCAUGCUGUUGGGCACUUAAUUUGGGAUUUCACAGAUUGUAUCAAACAAAGAAAUGGGCAUCCAGUGUGGUAGGCGGGGAUGGAGUAUCAGAGCUUGAGUAAGUAAGGAAGACAUUGAUGCAGAAGAUGGGGCCGCCUGGUGAGGGAACUCAGAGCCAAGCAGUGUGCAAACAGCAUCCCCAUGGAGGAGUGGUCUAGCAUGGGGAGUCAGAGCCUUAGAGAGGAAAAUGGAUUUGUGUUGGAGAGGAUCUGGCCACCUGGAGCUGUUUUUAUUCCUGAUCUCCAUUUACAAAAAUUCACCCUGAAAUAUCUGGCUGACCCAAAGUAUCAACAUCACCCCAGUUGCCAAUAGCUUUGGCCAUACUCUGCCCUCAUACCAACUUGGCUACAUACCUGUCUGAGGAAGGGCAGACUGUCUGCUGCUGCAACCCUCCCUUAUCUGGGCAUCAUCACUUCAUUCCCAGUAUUAAGGAUGCCUUCUUUGACACUCUCUGACUUCCAUCACAUUUCCCCAAGAUCCAGUGAACACUCCAACUCCAUUAAGGAGAGUUUCCCAGGUCAAAGCACUUCUCUGCACUCUGUAAAACUGGUAUUGACCACCACAUAUGCUUAUACUUAAGUAGUGCUGAGUCAUUAAUAUGAGAUCACCAUAAAA